Molecule: unclassified non-coding RNA, 351 nt
Filed under: soil metagenome
Description: partial contains 5.8S ribosomal RNA, internal transcribed spacer 2, and large subunit ribosomal RNA
Rfam family: 5.8S ribosomal RNA (bases 1-120)
Source: RNAcentral
GAUGAAGAACGCAGCGAAAUGCGAUAAGUAAUGCGAAUUGCAGAAUUCAGUGAAUCAUCGAAUCUUUGAACGCACAUGGCGCCUUCCAGUAUCCUGGGAGGCAUGCCUGUCCGAGCGUCGUUUCAACCCUCGAGCCCCCGUGGCCCGGCGUUGGGGAUCUGCCACGGCAGGCCCCUAAAACCAGUGGCGGACCCGAAGGCCCUCUCCUUUGCGCAGUAGCAUCAGCCUCGCAUUGGGAUCCCUCGGCGUCCUGCCUCUAAACCCCCCACAAGUCCGCUCCGGCGGCACCAAGGUUGACCUCGGAUCAGGUAGGAAUACCCGCUGAACUUAAGCAUAUCAAUAAGCGGAGGA